Molecule: RNA transcript, 4144 nt
Organism: Gossypium arboreum
Lineage: Eukaryota; Viridiplantae; Streptophyta; Magnoliopsida; Malvales; Malvaceae
Gene name: putative disease resistance protein RGA3
Exons: 3
Source: RefSeq, a predicted model, not a curated record
AACCAACAAUGGCCGAAGCAAUUGCUUUCGACAUUGCCGCAGAGCUCAUUAUUAAGUUGAGCUCUCGUGCUCUCUCUCAAGUUGGGCUCUGGUGGAAUCUAGAACAUGAUCUUGACGACCUCAAACACACUGUCUAUCAAAUCAAAGCUGUGCUUCUUGACGCAGAAGAGAAAUCGGUGACUGACAAUCUCGUCAAAGUUUGGCUUGAAGACCUGAAAGAUGUACUUUAUGAUGCCGAUGACUUGCUCGAUGAUUUCUCUACUGAAGCUUGAAAGAUCUAUUGGGUGGGAACAAGCUUACGAAAGAGGUACGCCUUUUCUUCUCAAGCUCAAACCAAUUUGCUUACAGUCUCAAAAUGGGUCGGAAAAUUAAGGCCAUUAAGGCGAGAUUAGCUUCAAUUCAAAGCGAGGCCAACACUUUUCGCUUCAUUCCGCGUGAUCGCCCCGCGGAAAUCUCUUUCGUGACUAAAAAGAGGCAGCAAACGCACUCUUUUGAGCGUGAAGAUGAAAUAAUAGGGAGGGAUGAUGAUAAAGCAGCUCUUCUAAAACUCGUGUUAGAGUUUCAAAGUGAAGAGAAUGUUUAUAUCAUUCCAAUUGUGGGAUUUGGAGGGUUAGGAAAGACUGCUUUGGCCCAACUUGUCUAUAACGAUGAAAUGGUCAAAAAUCAUUUUGAGUUAACGAUGUUUGCUUGUGUUUCAGAUGAUUUUGAUGUGAAAGUUAUUGUAGCAAACAUUAUCAAAUCUGUGACUAAUCAAGCACCUGAUCAAAAUCUUGAAAUGGAUCAAUUGCAAAAACAACUUAGAGAUAAAAUUGAUGGGAAAAAAUAUUUGCUUAUUUUGGAUGACAUUUGGAAUGAGGACCCAGAAAAGUGGUCUAGGAUAAAGAAGUUAUUGAUGGGUGGGGCUAAAGGAAGUAGGAUAAUAGUAACUACUCGAUCUCUAAAGGUAGCGGAGAUUAUUAAUAAAUGUGAAUCCCAUGUUUUGAAAUUGAAAGGCUUGUCUGAUGAUGAUGCUUGGUCUUUGUUCAAAAAGAUAGCAUUUGAGCAAGGAUAUGCAGACUCGACAAAUUCAGCCUUUGUGGAAGUAGGGAAACAGAUUUCGAAAAAGUGUGGUGGGGUUCCCUUAGCCAUAAGAACGAUAGCUGGUACUUUAUCUUUGAAGAAAACUGCAAAUGAGUGGUAUUCUUUCAAAGAAAAUGAACUUGCUAAAAUAUCUCAAAUUGAAGGAGAAAUUCUACCUACACUUAAAUUAAGUUAUGAUCAUCUCCCGUCCCAUUUGAAGCAUUGCUUUGCUUAUUGCCGAUUGUAUCCAAAAGAUUAUAAAAUUGAAGUACAAGCGCUUGUUCAAUUUUGGAUUGCACAAGGUUUCAUAAAGCAAUUGAAUCAAAGUCAAUCUCUCGAGGAGAUCGGGUUUGGGUAUUUUAAAGAUUUAGUUGAAAGAAGUUUCUUCCAGGAAGUAGGAGAAAGAUAUUCGUGGGAAGGACUAACAUGUAAAAUGCAUGAUUUAAUGCAUGAUCUAGCUGAAUCAGUAGCAGGGAUGGAGAGUAGUAUUGUAGAUUCAAAUAAAAUUGCAGGUGAUGUUGGUGAAAAAUGUCGCCACAUAUCAAUUAAACCUGCAUUAAUUCCUUUGUUUAAGGGAAAGAAGUUGCGAACCUUGUUACAUUUUCAAGACAGAAGAACUCAAGAUUUCAGCUAUGAAACUUGGGAUUUGAUAAUUGCAAAUUGUAGAUGCUUGCGUGUAUUGAAAUUGAAUUUUUUAGGUAUUCAAAAGAUUUCACCCUCCAUUUACAAGUUGAAACAUUUGAGGUACCUUGAUCUUUCUAUCAAUAUGGAUCUUGAGAUUCUCCCAAAGAGUAUUUGCAAGAUUCAGAAUUUGCUAGCGCUGAAACUUGAUCUGUGUUUUAGGCUUCAAGAAUUGCCAAAGAAGAUUGAAAAAUUGGUGAAUCUUACCCAUCUUGCGUGUCAUAAUUGUAAUCGCUUAACUCAUAUGCCAUGUGGAAUAGGAAAGCUGAGUUCCCUUGAGACGUUAAGCAUGUUUGUAGUGGAUAAAGAUGGGUCCCAUAACGGUGCAGAUCUAAGUGAAUUGAGAGGGCUUAACAACUUAAGGGGACACCUAAGAAUAAGAAAUUUGGGAUUCGUAAAAAAUGCAAAAGAGAAGUUUAAGGCUGCUAAUUUGAAAGAGAAGCAACAUUUGAGAUCGUUGGAUUUAGAAUGGUACGAUGAUAAUGAUGAUGAUGUUGAGGAUAAGUCACUUGAAGACCUCCAGCCCCAUCCUAAUCUCAAGGAGCUCUGUAUUGAAGGAUGGAGGGGUGAUGCCAAGUUUCCAAGUUGGCUUUCUUUCCUCACAAAUCUCGUCUAUAUUAGAAUACAACGGGGUAAUUUCAAACAAAACCCGUCCUUCGCGCAAUUUCCUUGUCUUAAAGGGCUGGUGAUUUCUAAUUUAACUGAGCUGGAGUACAUGGAUGAUAAUAGCCCAAAAGGAAGUCAAGGAGAACCACAAUCAUUCUUCCCAUUGCUCAAGUUUCUUUGCCUACGGGAUUGCCCAAAUAUGAAGAGUUGGUGGAGGAUGACAAAACUAAUCGAUGAUGAUUCCAACGAGGACGACACAACAGUUAUGGGAACAUCAACCAUGGCAUUUCCUUGUCUUUCCUCUUUAACAAUUUCAAAUUGCCCUUUGACUUCAAUGCCAUUGUAUCCUACACUCGAUGAUGAGCUAAAGUUGGUGAAUACCAGUUCAAGGCCGUUAAAGCAGACUAUCAAGAUGAACAUGAAUGCUAAGACCCCAUCAAGUUCAACCUCUUCUCUUCCUCUCUCCAAAUUGAAAUCUUUCCAUGCAGUCAACAUUGAGGAACUGGACACUCACACGCUACAUGAGUGCCUGCAACAUCUCACCAGUCUCAAAGAUUUAAGAAUAUGGAAUUGCGAGGAGGUUGAUUUAGAGGGCAUGCAAUGGGAAGCCCUUAAGAAUCUGUCUCAUUUGAAUAUUCAUAAAAUUCCACAGCUGGUGUCUCUCCCCCUUGGGCUUCAACAUCUUGUUCAAUUGAAAACAUUAGAAAUUCGUAAUUGCAGUGGAUUGAGGUCACUCUUUCCUGUGUUCCAACAUCUUACUUCCCCUGAAGAGUUUGAAGUAAAGGACUGGAAGAAACCGGAGCUAUCAGCAGCUGGCUUCCAAAUAUUCCAAGAUUAUACAAGCCUACGCUAUCUAACAAAUCUGCCAAAACUUCAUCUCGUUGAUUUGCCCAAUUUAACAUCGCUUCCGGAGGAGAUGCGUUGCCUAACUAAUUUGCAAAUUUUAGAAAUAAAAAGAAUUCCUCAGUUGGAGGAAAGAUGUCGGAAGGACAUUGGCGCUGAUUGGCAUAAGAUUGCUCACAUCCCCAACAUUCGGUUGUAAUCAGUAAGUCAUUGAAGAGUAGUUUGGGGAAAGGCAUUUGUCAACUUCAAUACUUUAUAUGCAUAAAAAGAGGCUCUUGGAGGCGUUCAAAUUCACAAUAUUCAUCUGUUUGGAAUUUCAGCCAAAUUUGUUUUUGAAGGUCCAAACAGGAAAAAAGGAAAUUGCUUUUAGGAAUUAUUAUUGUAAUUGUUAUACACCAUCUGAUCUGAGUGUCGUGUGUUGAAUUUCACUUGCAUACCUAAAAUGAGUUAGGAAAGAGUUUACUUCAUUGUACAAAGGUGAGGUUGCAUCAAGUGUUUGAGGAGUUAAGUUUCAAUCUCUUCUUUGUACUAUGAAGCUCAUAGUGUAUUCAUAUUUAGACUCCUCCAAAAGAUGUCGAUUUCCUGGCUGUAUAUACAUAUGACUUGAGUGUUGGUGCUUCUGUUCGCACACAUCAAACUACAAGUUGAAUAACACACCUUGUAAUUUGUUCUUGUAACCCCCCCCCCCAACCUUGUCGGAAUCUUGAUGUGACGAGAUACUGCAAUCGUCGAAAGGAAGGAAGAACAUGGGCAAUGGCAGGGGUGUUUCUUGGUGAGCUAAGGAAAUCAAGGUCUCCUAGGAGGAUUCUAGCCCAUCAAUUCCCUCUAUAUAGUAACAAUGAACCUUGAAAUUAUAAAUAUCAAUAUGAUAAAAUUGAUCUCGUAUAGACUGAGCAGUGUCCAAAUGUAGAAGAAUACUGUUACUAAAAACAUAACUCCAUAUUUUGUACACAAA